Molecule: long non-coding RNA, 2002 nt
Organism: Rhipicephalus sanguineus (brown dog tick)
Lineage: Eukaryota; Metazoa; Arthropoda; Arachnida; Ixodida; Ixodidae
Exons: 4
Source: RefSeq, a predicted model, not a curated record
GCUACUUAAGUGAACUUCACCGAGACGGCAGAGCUGCUGUUACAUGACUAUACAUAGCCCUGUGGAGCAUGCAACGGGGCAUGUGGUCAGUUGCACAUGGCACCGGAAUACGGAUACGGGGACAAGGACUACAACCAUUUCGCUCGCCCAAUUGCAUUUGCUUUGAGAAGCUUUCUUACUGGACUUCACCGAGAGAGGAUAGCUGGUGUUGCAACACUAUACAUAGCCCUGCGGAGCAUGCGACGGGGCGAGUGGCAAGGUGCACAUGGCACCAGAAUACGGAUACGGGGACGAGGACUACAACACUUCACCGAGCCAGGGAAGCUGGUGUUGCAAGACUAUACAUAACACUGCGGAGUGUGCGCCGGGGCGAGCGGCGCAAGUGUAAAUAGCCCCGGAAUACGGAUACGGGGACGAGGACUACAACCAUUUAGCCCAGCCAAUUGCAUUUGCUUUGAGAAGCAAUCUUACUGGACUUCAGCGAGACAGGAUACCUGGUGUUGCAAGACUAUACAUAGCCCUGCGGGGCACGCGACGGGGCGAGUGGCAAGGUGCACAUGGCACCAGAAUACGGAUACGGGGACGAGGACUACAACACUUCACCGAGCCAGGGAAGCUGGUGUUGCAAGACUAUACAUAACACUGCGGAGUGUGCGCCGGGGCGAGCGGCGCAAGUGUAAAUAGCUCCGGAAUACGGAUACGGGGACGAGGACAACCAUUUAGCCCAGCCAAUUGCAUUUGCUUUGAGAAGCAAUCUUACUGGACUUCAGCGAGACAGGAUACCUGGUGUUGCAAGACUAUACAUAGCCCUGCGGGGCACGCGACGGGGCGAGUGGCAAGGUGCACAUGGCACCAGAAUACGGAUACGGGGACGAGGACUACAACUCUUUAUCCCACCCAAUUGCAUUUGCUUUUACAAGCUACUUUACUGAACUUGACCGAGACAGAUCGAGCCAGAGAAGCUGGUGUUUCAAGAUUAUAAAUAGCCCUGCGGAGCAUGCGCCGGGACAAGCGGCGCAAGUGUAGAUAGCCCCGGAAAACGGAUACGGGGACGAGGACUACAACUCUUUAUCCCACCCAAUUGCAUUUGCUUUUACAAGCUACUUUACUGAACUUGACCGAGACAGCAGAGCUGCUUUUACAUGACUACACAUAGCCCUACGGAGAAUGCGACUGAGCGAGCGGGGCAAGUGUAAAUAGCCCCGGAAAAUGGAUACGGGAUCGAGGACUACAACUCUUUAUCCCACCCAACUGCAUUUGCUUCGAGAAGCUAUAUUACUAGACUUUCGAGACAGCAGAGCUGGUGUUACAUCACUAUACAUAGCCCUGCGGCGCAUGCGAGUGGGCGAGCGGGGCAACGGGGCAAGUGUAGAUAGCCCCGGAAUACGGAUACGGGGACGAGGACUACAACUCUUUAUCCCACCCAAUUGCAUUUGAUUUUACAAGCUACUUUACUGAACUUGACCAAGACAAUAGAGCUGCUUUUACAUGAUUAUACAUAGCCCUGCGGAGAAUGCGACUGAGCGAGCGGGGCAAGUGUAAAUAGUCCAGGAAUACGGAUACGGGAACGUGGACUACAACUCUUUAUCCCACACAACUGCAUUUGCUUCAAGAAGCUAUUCGAUUACACUUCACCGAAACAGCAGAGCUGGUGCUACAUGACUAUACAUAGCCCUGCGGAGCAUGCGAGUGGGCGAGCGGGGCACGUGUAGUUGGCCCCGGAAUACGGGGACGAGGACUACAACCCUUUAUCCCACCCAACUGCAUUUGCUUCGAGAAGCUAUUUUACUAGACUUCACCGAAACAGCAGAGCUGGUGCUACAUGACUAUACAUAGCCCUGCGGAGUGGGCGAGUGGGGCAAGUGUAGUUCGUCCCGGAAUACGGAUACGGGGACGAGGACUACAACUCUUUAUCCCACCCAAUGGCGUUUGCUUUUAGAAGCCAUUUUAUGAACUUCAUCGAGACAGAGAAAGCUGUUUUACUGGACUUCACCGAGAGAGA